Molecule: long non-coding RNA, 748 nt
Filed under: Helianthus annuus (common sunflower)
Lineage: Eukaryota; Viridiplantae; Streptophyta; Magnoliopsida; Asterales; Asteraceae
Description: sRNA HanXRQr2_Chr17g0822201
Source: RNAcentral
UCACUUUCUUUUCGAGUUCUGCUUUAGCUCUCGACUGUCUUCAAAAUAAGAUCUUCCGGAUGAUAAUAACAUUUUAAUGAGUGCAAUAAGCAUACAUCUACAAUCAUGACUGGUAGACACAAAUUUCAAAUUCCAAGUAUUUUAUAAAUUAUAAGUAUACUUCACACUAUAACAUGUCAUUCGGUAUUGAUUGACAACUAUGCUUUCGGCUGUAAGCGGUCACAUGAAAAAUAAUGGGGCAACACAAGUUUAGCAUAAUGGUUUAGUGAAUUCGUACCGGAGUUCCGUAAUUCAUCAUUCCUGCAUACGGUGGUUCCUGAUAUGGAUAAGAUGCCAAAACCUGCAAAAUUCUUUCAGUAAGUAAACAGCAAGUACUAUAGUAAACAUAUCGUUCGGUACAUAACCGGUUUUAAAUAUAGAACUACAAGAAUGACAUAAACACUUGAACCUAUUGCUUUAACUGUAGUACAUAAGGCGGUUAUGGCCUUUAUAUGGUUUACGCAGUUCUAUACUUAAAAUGGAUUAUGUAUUGAACGCAAUCCUCCAUACAGAUAUACAAUUAUACAUACACACACAUAUAUAGGGCCACAUUCAAUAAUGAACCAAUUUCAAGUAGAGAGCCACAUUACACUUGUACGUAGUGCUUCGCAGAUAUAAAGGGAAGAAGCUACAUAUCUGCGUUAUGCAUCAGAGUUAAAGCAAAAUGUACAAGUAUAAAUAUAGAGAAAGAGAGAAGGAUUACUACUGA